CUGCUAUCCCAAGAACAGAACCAGCCACCCACCUCUCUCUCUCCCCAAAAACAGAGCAUGGCCGCCGCCGCCUUGAUCUGCCCCAUCCGGGCAUCUCCCGCGACACGGUCCGGUGGGCUUGCCAUCGGCUGCAGCGGCAACGAUGUCUCCAUGCCUACUUCCUCCCCCAGCGCAGCCACACGCACGAGGCUUGCGGCCACGGGCGUCGGGCGUGUGCGGCUUCACCGACGCUGCUCGGUCGCAUGGCUCUGCUUCUAACGGUGUGGACUAGCCACAUCCUACUGCUACUACUGCAGUGGAGAUUAUUGACUAAGGAGCCAGAUCGGGAUGCCCUGGACCUGCUCAUCGCCAAAAUUCGGGCUUCAGCCUCUCAGAUCUCCAGGACGAAUCAUGGCGUAUAAGCUUGGUGCUGUAGUUUGCGGGAUUAGGUCUCCUUCUCUCCCCGGCCUGCGUGCCGUGUUUGGCAGCUGCCUGUUUCGUUAGGAAUUUGGGCCUAUUUAACUUCUCUUUGUGUUUCUGAGACUGUGUGAACCUUGGGUAUUCGUGACGCUGCCAUGUGGCUUUAUUUAUA
This is a long non-coding RNA of Triticum dicoccoides, 571 nucleotides long. RefSeq lists it as uncharacterized. The record is from RefSeq and is a predicted model, not a curated record. Lineage: Eukaryota; Viridiplantae; Streptophyta; Magnoliopsida; Poales; Poaceae. The transcript is spliced from 3 exons.